Molecule: transfer RNA, 88 nt
Filed under: Glycocaulis alkaliphilus
Lineage: Bacteria; Pseudomonadati; Pseudomonadota; Alphaproteobacteria; Maricaulales; Maricaulaceae
Description: tRNA-Ser
Source: RNAcentral
GCCAGGGCGGAACGGUAUUUAAUCGCGUUGGAAACGAGGUUCUGAAAAAGCUGGGUCAGAAGCACUGGGUCGCCCUCGAUUUCUGGCA